AUUGAACGCUGGCGGCAGGCCUAACACAUGCAAGUCGAGCGGAUGAAGGGAGCUUGCUCCUGGCUUCAGCGGAGGACGGGUGAGUAAUGCCUAGGAAUCUGCCUGGUCGUGGGGGAUAACGUCCGGAAAUGGGGGCUAAUCCCGCAUACGUCCUGCGGGGGAAAGUGGGGGAUCUUCGGACCUCACGCUUUCAGAUGAGCCUAGGUCGGAUUUGCUAGUUGGUGGGGUAAAGGCCUACCAAGGCGGCGAUCCGUAACUGGUCUGAGAGGGUGAUCAGUCAAACUGGAACUGAGACACGGUCCAGACUCCUACGGGAGGCAGCAGUGGGGAAGAUUGGACAAUGGGCGAAAGCCUGAUCCAGCCAUGCCGCGUGUGUGAAGAAGGUCUUCGGAUUGUAAAGCACUUUAAGUGGUGAAGAAGGGCAGUAAGUGAAUACCUGGCUGUUUUGACGGUACCAACAGAAGAAGCACCGGCUAACUUCGUG
Molecule: ribosomal RNA, 484 nt
Filed under: uncultured bacterium
Lineage: Bacteria
Description: partial 16S ribosomal RNA
Rfam family: Bacterial small subunit ribosomal RNA
Source: RNAcentral